RNAcentral lists this long non-coding RNA (567 nucleotides) under Sorghum bicolor (sorghum). Its description in RNAcentral is "long non-coding RNA (SBIC_LNC013127)". Lineage: Eukaryota; Viridiplantae; Streptophyta; Magnoliopsida; Poales; Poaceae. The record is from RNAcentral.
UCCUUUACCGAGUGCCCGAAAUCCGGCCCUCGGCAAAUCAAAUAACCCUCGGCAGCGUUGCUGUUUCCAGUAGUGAUUUGUUAAUUAAGCAUGUUGGCAUGUUGCUUCUGAAAUAUUUAGUACGGUAAGGAAAGUUUAAUAGUGCCCAUUCAUUAAAAUAUUGGAGUCAAAAUUAAAUGUAGUUCUGAGCACUUGCACAACCAGUGAGCUUCUUUUAUGAUGAAAAAUAGCAUUCGGCUUCAUCUCCUGACAAGAGUAAUUAGAUUAAACUUAUUACAAGGUUCCCAACACAAAAAGUCACACAGUUCUCAGAUGCAUUUAAUUAAAUCUAUCAAAAAUGCCGGUGCAUUGCAACGAGAUUUAGAAUCUAUAACUGGAUGAUUUGGAGUUUGAAAAUUCAACAGUUAUAUUAUGUGUUUCAGCAUCUUGUAGUCGGACUUUAUAUCAUGCCAUGACUACCUCAUUGAAAAUAAGAGGCUCAAAGAUUAAUUAUUAUGUCAUGUUUCUAUUGGUUUUAAGAUUAUAUUUCAGUCACACUAUUUUCACUUGUCCAUGCUUAAAAACAUU